CUCUUUCGCCCUUAACCAUCCAACCCCUCCUCACUCUGCAGAGCCUCGCCCCACCACUCUCUCUCCCUCUCCUUCUUCCUCCCCACCACUCAUGGCGUCGUUGCCGGCGGCGAGGCCGGGCAGCCAUGGAUCUGGGAACCUCGCGUCGCGGCUACCCCGGUCGUGCUGCGCGUGGAGGUGCUCUGUCGGCCCGCAUCAGCGGCGCAAGCAUGAGCACCAGGAGGCACCCAGGCCGUGCAUCGAUGAGAAGCUCGCCGCCGUGGCGGCCCCAGUCGCCUCGUGCUUGGACGGCGGCCCGCGUCAGUCAUGCGAACAAGAGCACAGGAGGCCACGAUGGCUGCAAAUGGUGGGGGCGAGGGUUGGGCUCUCCCGGCGUCGCGCGAGUCGUUGAGGGGAGGCGAUGGCUAUGGAUGGCGUCGAGCAGUGGUGGAAGCCGCUCCAGCUUCCGUGCCGCGGCCUCUCAUACUAUCAGGUGCAAGUAGGUCGCCGGCAGGGCUUAGCCCCCUCAAGCAGAUGCGCUGUUGACGAGAACCGCCACCACGCCGGCGAGAGGAGUCGCGCCCUCCACUGGAUCUCGCUGGUGGGAGGAGUCGCGGUGGAGGUGUUGCUCCUGGGGGAAGCGACGACCUGCCUCGCAUGAAUUUGCCAGAGAGGUAGGCGGGGGCGCGGGGAUGGCUGCAGCCACGAGCCGGAGGGUUGGCAAAUAUUGGAGCAGUGAGGUGGUAGUUUAGUGUGGGCAACACGACAUUUUUUGGACAUGGCAAAUUUUGUUUUGGUUCACAAGAAAAUUCAUGUUUGUUUAAUGUCACCACUACUACUUUUGCCAUGCCACAUUGUUUUACCAUGCUAAUUUUGCUAAGCUUUUUGCCCUUGCAAAAAAGUUUAGCACUGACUAUGGCAACUUUAGUUUACUAUUAUCAAAACGGAUGAAAAUUCAUAGUUUU
Molecule: long non-coding RNA, 944 nt
Organism: Triticum dicoccoides
Lineage: Eukaryota; Viridiplantae; Streptophyta; Magnoliopsida; Poales; Poaceae
Exons: 2
Source: RefSeq, a predicted model, not a curated record